UGGGGAAUCUUGCGCAAUGGGCGGAAGCCUGACGCAGCAACGCCGCGUGCGGGAAGAAGGCCUUAGGGUCGUAAACCGCUUUCAGGGGGGACGAAGCUUCCGGGGUUAAUAGCCUACGGGGUGACGGUACUCCCAAAAGAAGGUCCGGCUAACUACGUGCCAGCAGCCGCGGUAAUACGUAGGGACCGAGCGUUGUCCGGAAUCAUUGGGCGUAAAGAGCGUGUAGGCGGCUUGGUAGGUCUCGUGUGAAAUCCCGCGGCUCAACCGCGGACCCGCACGGGAAACCCCCAAGCUCGAGUCCGGAAGAGGAGAGUGGAAUUCCUGGUGUAGCGGUGAAAUGCGCAGAUAUCAGGAAGAACACCCGUAGCGAAGGCGGCUCUCUGGGACGGUACUGACGCUGAGACGCGAAAGCGUGGGGAGCAAACAGG
RNAcentral lists this ribosomal RNA (428 nucleotides) under uncultured bacterium. RNAcentral describes it as "bacterial SSU rRNA". It matches the Rfam family "Bacterial small subunit ribosomal RNA", at positions 355 to 776 of the family's 1533-position model. The record is from RNAcentral.